CAAUAGUUGUUGUUAAAAAGGUUAUUGUGUCAUCUGAUAAGUAGAACUCAAAAAAAUUCCAUACUGAGCUUGACCUAUUAUCAAAGAUUAAACCAUGCCCAUUUGCCCAAACUGCUUAGCUAUUGUGAAGAAGGUGGAGAAAGGCUUACGGUUUGAGUUCAUGGCUCUUGGUUCCUUGCACCAACAUCAUCAUGUGAAGAACAAGGCAC
This 209-nucleotide unclassified non-coding RNA is filed under the name Hevea brasiliensis (rubber tree). The record is from RNAcentral. Lineage: Eukaryota; Viridiplantae; Streptophyta; Magnoliopsida; Malpighiales; Euphorbiaceae.